Molecule: non-coding RNA, 86 nt
Organism: Mycena polygramma
Lineage: Eukaryota; Fungi; Basidiomycota; Agaricomycetes; Agaricales; Mycenaceae
Source: the annotation of a GenBank genome assembly
GGGUGCUUGGCGCAAUGGUAGCGUGUUCGGCUUCGAUUGCUGAAUUUCGCACCGAAAGGUUGCAGGUUCGAGUCCUGCAGUGCUCA